UACGAGGGGGGCAAGCGUUGUCCGGAUUUAUUGGGCGUAAAGAGCGUGUAGGCGGCCAAGCAGGUCAGCUGUGAAAACUCGAGGCUCAACCUCGAGACGUCGGUUGAAACCGCUUGGCUAGAGUCCGGAAGAGGAGAGUGGAAUUCCCGGUGUAGCGGUGAAAUGCGCAGAUAUCGGGAAGAACACCCGUGGCGAAGGCGGCUCUCUGGGACGGUACUGACGCUGAGACGCGAAAGCGUGGGGAGCGAACAGG
Molecule: ribosomal RNA, 253 nt
Filed under: uncultured bacterium
Lineage: Bacteria
Description: partial 16S ribosomal RNA
Rfam family: Bacterial small subunit ribosomal RNA
Source: RNAcentral